AUGUUAUCAAGAAAGGUGGAGGGAUUAGACCCGCUGAAACCUUAGCAACCCUUAGACUUACUAAGAAGGUGCUAAAUUCUACUAGAAGUUACGAAUCAUUUCUCGUAAUUCUAGAUAGAUAACCC
This 125-nucleotide non-coding RNA is filed under the name Winogradskyella jejuensis. RNAcentral describes it as "SAM-I sequence". It matches the Rfam family "SAM riboswitch aptamer (S box leader)". Rfam says of the family: The SAM riboswitch is found upstream of a number of genes which code for proteins involved in methionine or cysteine biosynthesis in Gram-positive bacteria. The SAM riboswitch acts at the level of transcription termination control. The predicted structure consists of a complex stem-loop region followed by a single stem loop terminator region. Lineage: Bacteria; Pseudomonadati; Bacteroidota; Flavobacteriia; Flavobacteriales; Flavobacteriaceae. The record is from RNAcentral.